UACGUAGGGGGCUAGCGUUAUCCGGAUUCAUUGGGCGUAAAGGGCGCGUAGGCGGCUUGGUAAGUCAGAUGUGAAAACCGGGGGCUCAACCCGCGGCCUGCAUCUGAAACUGCCAGGCUUGAGUCUGGUAGAGGAAAGUGGAAUUCCUAGUGUAGCGGUGGAAUGCGCAGGUAUUAGGAGGAACACCAGUGGCGAAGGCGGCUUUCUGGGCCACGACUGACGCUGAUGCGCGAAAGCUAGGGGAG
Molecule: ribosomal RNA, 245 nt
Filed under: uncultured bacterium
Lineage: Bacteria
Description: partial 16S ribosomal RNA
Rfam family: Bacterial small subunit ribosomal RNA
Source: RNAcentral